AAGAAAAAAGGGGUGAAACCCUAGUCCUCAAGAAAGCUUCAAAUUGAUAAGGAAAUUAGGCUCAAAUCCAAUGCAUGAACUUGAUUCCUUGGCCAUCUAGCCCUAACAAACUUACGAAUAGGAACCACACUAACACGGACCAAGUAUGGAAAGCUAACGGGUCAAGCGGAAGCGAGGGAGCAAGUAUGGACACUAACGCUUAAGGUUCUCCAUCGAGGUUCGCUAAGGAUUAGACACCCGGAUGGAAUGACUAUAUCUAGAAAGACAACGGGAUGGAAA
Molecule: long non-coding RNA, 279 nt
Organism: Helianthus annuus (common sunflower)
Lineage: Eukaryota; Viridiplantae; Streptophyta; Magnoliopsida; Asterales; Asteraceae
Exons: 3
Source: RefSeq, a predicted model, not a curated record